This 535-nucleotide long non-coding RNA is filed under the name Hordeum vulgare. RNAcentral's name for it is "long non-coding RNA (HVUL_LNC001395)". The record is from RNAcentral. Lineage: Eukaryota; Viridiplantae; Streptophyta; Magnoliopsida; Poales; Poaceae.
UUGCCUUCAAAACAAUUUUGAAAGAGUGGUUCAUAUGAUGAUGUGCUAAUGAAAUUUGAUUACAAAUAAGUGUUCUGACUAAUUGUAAAUGAAUAGGAAAACAUGAUGUUCAUAAGGAGGUUGCAAAGACAUGCAGGGAUGUAAAGAUCUAAGCAGACCUCAAGAUUUAAGCUAUAUAUUACCUAAAGUUGAUGAUGUUUAUGCCGUUUCUUCUUCCGUCCUUCCGAUGUGUUGGGCGUCCUGCCGUAUGUCGCCCCCUCGAUCAAAACUUGCUGGCACAAUCGAUAGUUCCUCACUUGUGUUGAUAUGUCGUUCUGUGGAUCUCCUUUCAAUCUUCGUACGGGUGGUGUUGGGUGUUCUGGUAUGUGUUAUUUCGGUGGGUGUUUUGGGGUGUGUGCCCCAACCUUUAUAUUAGUCCCAGGGUUGUUGUGUUUGAUUUCUGUACGGAUGAGUGUCCGCCUGCAACAGUAUAUGUACAUUAGCAAUCAUAAUUGUGGUAUGAUUAUAAUUCAAUACUUGGACGUGUUAACUUCAA